This 975-nucleotide unclassified non-coding RNA is filed under the name Gigantopelta aegis. RNAcentral describes it as "bTB/POZ domain-containing protein 2-like, transcript variant X2". The record is from RNAcentral. Lineage: Eukaryota; Metazoa; Mollusca; Gastropoda; Neomphalida; Peltospiridae.
CAGUGAAAAAAGGCGUGCAAGACAAAGGCACUUCGGAGUGGACUCAAUCUUCCAGCCAUAGAGCUUGAGUGGUUGUGUCUGGAACUAAUAAGAGAAACAUGUCAUCACAAAAUACCACCACAGACUGGCAGUCAGGGAGAGACUUCGCAGAGACGAACCUGUACAUGCUGGAACACGAGAUCACCUGUGACGUCACGUUUAGAGUUGGGACCGAGCAGACGACAGUUCGUGCCCACAGGUUUAUGUUAAUCAGUCGCAGUCACGUGUUCUCCGCCAUGCUUUGUGGUCCAUUGGCUGAGACUGGUGAGAUUGAAAUCCCGGAUGUUGAUGGUGACAGUUUCAGUUUGUUUCUGAGACAGGAUAGUACACCAGUUGUGAGUCACAAGAUGUAGCGCAAUGGGCCCACCAACGGGAAUCGAUCCUAGACCGACAGCGCAUCAUGCGAAAGCUUUACCACUGGGCUACGGUCCGCCCCACCAGUGUGUUUUGUGCGUGCGUGCGUGCGUGCGUGCGUGCGUGUGUGUGUGUGAUAUGGAAUGGAAAGGAUUCCAUUACAUUUCUUUGACCAAAUAUAUCGUUUCUAGUUCUUUGGAGAUGCUGACACUCCACUAAAAUGUGGCGUACCGUUAGAAAACACUGACAGUGCUCACACUGAGGUGGAGGAUCUUUCUUCAAGAUAUAUGAAUGGGUCAAGUAGGAAUGACCGAUGCGAGCACGACAUAAAACUACACUAUUUCAUCCUUCCUGCACUGCCUUUAGGAGGACUGCCACUCUCCCGGGACUGGCUUGACAGCACGAAGCUUGGUCGCAACCGCACCAUUCCAAUCAUUUCGCCACGUUGAAAAGAUAAAUUGGUUAAUGCUAUGCUAAAAUCAGUAUAUAGCACUCCAACCCUAACAUGAGGCAAAUCCAAAGCAGAUUUGGCAGCUGAAUCUGCUUUUUCAUUACCCCUGAUUUCCUUAUUGACAAUGGAUA